UACGGAGGGUGCGAGCGUUGUCCGGAAUCACUGGGCGUAAAGGGCGCGUAGGCGGCAAUUCAAGUCAGCUGUGAAAUCUCCGGGCUUAACUCGGAACGGUCAAGUGAUACUGUCGGACUAGAGUACAGAAGGGGCAACUGGAAUUCUCGGUGUAGCGGUGAAAUGCGUAGAUAUCGAGAGGAACACCUGCGGCGAAGGCGGGUUGCUGGGCUGAUACUGACGCUGAGGCGCGAAAGCCAGGGGAGCGAACGGG
RNAcentral lists this ribosomal RNA (253 nucleotides) under uncultured bacterium. RNAcentral describes it as "partial 16S ribosomal RNA". It matches the Rfam family "Bacterial small subunit ribosomal RNA", at positions 524 to 776 of the family's 1533-position model. The record is from RNAcentral.